Molecule: microRNA precursor, 86 nt
Filed under: Solanum lycopersicum (tomato)
Lineage: Eukaryota; Viridiplantae; Streptophyta; Magnoliopsida; Solanales; Solanaceae
Description: MIR8024 microRNA precursor family
Rfam family: MIR8024 microRNA precursor family
Source: Rfam by way of RNAcentral
UUGAAGGAUUUGAAGACUUAAACUUGCAAUACUAAAGAAUAUGAAAACUUCAACUUGCAAACUUAAUGAAUUUUAAGACAUCAAUU